AACGAACGCUGGCGGCAUGCCUAACACAUGCAAGUCGAACGAACCCUUCGGGGUUAGUGGCGCACGGGUGCGUAACGCGUGGGAAUCUGCCCUUUGCUUCGGAAUAACUCAGGGAAACUUGUGCUAAUACCGGAUGAUGUCUUCGGACCAAAGAUUUAUCGGCAAGGGAUGAGCCCGCGUAGGAUUAGGUAGUUGGUGGGGUAAAGGCCUACCAAGCCGACGAUCCUUAGCUGGUCUGAGAGGAUGAUCAGCCACACUGGGACUGAGACACGGCCCAGACUCCUACGGGAGGCAGCAGUGGGGAAUAUUGGAAAAUGGGCGCAAGCCUGAUCCAGCAAUGCCGCGUGAGUGAUGAAGGCCCUCGGGUCGUAAAGCUCUUUUACCAGGGAUGAUAAUGACAGUACCUGGAGAAUAAGCUCCGGCUAACUCCGUG
RNAcentral lists this ribosomal RNA (433 nucleotides) under uncultured bacterium. RNAcentral's name for it is "partial 16S ribosomal RNA". It matches the Rfam family "Bacterial small subunit ribosomal RNA", at positions 29 to 507 of the family's 1533-position model. The record is from RNAcentral.